GCACAUAUCCAUUGACCCGUCGAUUUCCGAAUGGGGGAACCCUAUAAACUACUACCUGAAUUCAUAGGGUAGAAAGAGCUAACUCAGGGAAGUGAACCAUCUCAGUACCUGAAGGAAGAGAAAACAACAGUGAUUCCGUGAGUAGCGGCGAGCGAAAACGGACCAGCCUAAACCAUCUGGGCUUGCUCAGGUGGGGUCGUGGGACCAGACAUAACGGAAGGGAAUAAUUAGGGGAAAUGUGUGGAAAAGCACACCAUAGAGCGUGAUAGUCGCGUACCCGAAAAUUUGAACCUCCAGUUUGGCACCCGAGUAACGCGGGACACGAGGAAUCUUGCGUGAAUUUG
This 344-nucleotide ribosomal RNA is filed under the name Heterosigma akashiwo. RNAcentral's name for it is "partial Bacterial large subunit ribosomal RNA". It matches the Rfam family "Bacterial large subunit ribosomal RNA", at positions 88 to 446 of the family's 2925-position model. Lineage: Eukaryota; Raphidophyceae; Chattonellales; Chattonellaceae. The record is from RNAcentral.